This 83-nucleotide transfer RNA is filed under the name Clostridiales bacterium. RNAcentral describes it as "tRNA-Leu". It matches the Rfam family "tRNA". From Rfam's summary of the family: Transfer RNA (tRNA) molecules are approximately 80 nucleotides in length. Their secondary structure includes four short double-helical elements and three loops (D, anti-codon, and T loops). Further hydrogen bonds mediate the characteristic L-shaped molecular structure. tRNAs have two regions of fundamental functional importance: the anti-codon, which is responsible for specific mRNA codon recognition, and the 3' end, to which the tRNAs corresponding amino acid is attached (by aminoacyl-tRNA synthetases). tRNAs cope with the degeneracy of the genetic code in two manners: having more than one tRNA (with a specific anti-codon) for a particular amino acid; and 'wobble' base-pairing, i.e. permitting non-standard base-pairing at the 3rd anti-codon position. Lineage: Bacteria; Bacillati; Bacillota; Clostridia; Eubacteriales. The record is from RNAcentral.
GCGAUGGUGGCGGAAUUGGCAUACGCGCACGUUUGAGGGGCGUGUCCGCAAGGGUAUGGGUUCAAGUCCCAUCCAUCGCACCA